Molecule: ribosomal RNA, 678 nt
Filed under: uncultured bacterium
Lineage: Bacteria
Description: bacterial SSU rRNA
Rfam family: Bacterial small subunit ribosomal RNA
Source: RNAcentral
UUAGAGUUUGAUCCUGGCUCAGAACGAACGCUGGCGGCAUGCCUAACACAUGCAAGUCGAACGAAGGCUUCGGCCUUAGUGGCGCACGGGUGCGUAACGCGUGGGAAUCUGCCCUUAGGUACGGAAUAACAGUGAGAAAUUACUGCUAAUACCGUAUGAUGACGUAAGUCCAAAGAUUUAUCGCCUAGGGAUGACCCCGCGUAGGAUUAGCUAGUUGGUGGGGUAAAGGCCUACCAAGGCGACGAUCCUUAGCUGGUCUGAGAGGAUGAUCAGCCACACUGGGACUGAGACACGGCCCACACUCCUACGGGAGGCAGCAGUGGGGAAUAUUGGACAAUGGGCGAAAGCCUGAUCCAGCAAUGCCGCGUGAGUGAUGAAGGCCUUAGGGUUGUAAAGCUCUUUUACCCGGGAAGAUAAUGACUGUACCGGGAGAAUAAGCCCCGGCUAACUCCGUGCCAGCAGCCGCGGUAAUACGGAGGGGGCUAGCGUUGUUCGGAAUUACUGGGCGUAAAGCGUACGUAGGCGGCUUUGUAAGUUAGAGGUGAAAGCCUGGUGUUCAACACCAGAACUGCCUUUAAGACUGCAUCGCUUGAAUCGCGGAGAGGUGAGUGGAAUUCCGAGUGUAGAGGUGAAAUUCGUAUAUAUUCGGAAGACACCAGUGGCGAAGGCGGCUCACUG